UAGGGAAUCUUCGGCAAUGGGGGCAACCCUGACCGAGCAACGCCGCGUGAGUGAAGAAGGUUUUCGGAUCGUAAAGCUCUGUUGUAAGAGAAGAACGUGUGUGAGAGUGGAAAGUUCACACAGUGACGGUAACUUACCAGAAAGGGACGGCUAACUACGUGCCAGCAGCCGCGGUAAUACGUAGGUCCCGAGCGUUGUCCGGAUUUAUUGGGCGUAAAGCGAGCGCAGGCGGUUUAAUAAGUCUGAAGUUAAAGGCAGUGGCUUAACCAUUGUUCGCUUUGGAAACUGUUAAACUUGAGUGCAGAAGGGGAGAGUGGAAUUCCAUGUGUAGCGGUGAAAUGCGUAGAUAUAUGGAGGAACACCGGUGGCGAAAGCGGCUCUCUGGUCUGUAACUGACGCUGAGGCUCGAAAGCGUGGGGAGCAAACAGGAUUAGAUACCCUGGUAGUCCACGCCGUAAACGAUGAGUGCUAGGUGUUAGGCCCUUUCCGGGGCUUAGUGCCGCAGCUAACGCAUUAAGCACUCCGCCUGGGGAGUACGACCGCAAGGUG
RNAcentral lists this ribosomal RNA (549 nucleotides) under soil bacterium LB-P1-32. RNAcentral's name for it is "bacterial SSU rRNA". It matches the Rfam family "Bacterial small subunit ribosomal RNA", at positions 355 to 895 of the family's 1533-position model. The record is from RNAcentral.